CAGGCUUAACACAUGCAAGUCGAGGGGCAGCAUGGUCUUAGCUUGCUAAGGCCGAUGGCGACCGGCGCACGGGUGAGUAACGCGUAUCCAACCUGCCUUACACUCUUGGACAGCCUUCUGAAAGGGAGAUUAAUACAAGAUGUUAUCAUGAGUAAGCAUUUUCGCAUGAUUAAAGGUUUACCGGUGUAAGAUGGGGAUGCGUUCCAUUAGAUAGUAGGCGGGGUAACGGCCCACCUAGUCUUCGAUGGAUAGGGGUUCUGAGAGGAAGGUCCCCCACAUUGGAACUGAGACACGGUCCAAACUCCUACGGGAGGCAGCAGUGAGGAAUAUUGGUCAAUGGACGAGAGUCUGAACCAGCCAAGUAGCGUGAAGGAUGAAGGUUCUAUGGAUUGUAAACUUCUUUUAUACGGGAAUAAACGAAUCCACGUGUGGAUUUUUGCAUGUACCGUAUGAAUAAGGAUCGGCUAACUCCGUGCCAGCAGCCGCGGUAAUACGGAGGAUCCGAGCGUUAUCCGGAUUUAUUGGGUUUAAAGGGAGCGUAGAUGGGUUGUUAAGUUAGUUGUGAAAGUUUGCGGCUCAACCGUAAAAUUGCAAUUGAUACUGGCAGUCUUGAGUACAGUUGAGGUAGGCGGAAUUCGUGGUGUAGCGGUGAAAUGCUUAGAUAUCACGAAGAACUCCGAUUGCGAAGGCAGCUUACUAACCUGUAACUGACAUUGAUGCUCGAAAGUGUGGGUAUCAAACAGGAUUAGAUACCCUGGUAGUCCACACGGUAAACGAUGAAUACUCGCUGUAGGCGAUAUACAGUCUGCGGCCAAGCGAAAGCAUUAAGUAUUCCACCUGGGGAGUACGCCGGCAACGGUGAAACUCAAAGGAAUUGACGGGGGCCCGCACAAGCGGAGGGACAUGUGGUUUAAUUCGAUGAUACGCGAGGAACCUUACCCGGGCUUAAAUUGCAACCGAAUAUGGCGGAAACGCUAUAGCUAGCAAUAGCGGUUGUGAAAGUGCUGCAUGGUUGUCGUCAGCUCGUGCCGUGAGGUGUCGGCUUAAGUGCCAUAACGAGCGCAACCCUUGCCGAUAGUUACUAACAGGUCAUGCUGAGGACUCUGUCGGGACUGCCAUCGUAAGAUGUGAGGAAGGUGGGGAUGACGUCAAAUCAGCACGGCCCUUACGUCCGGGGCUACACACGUGUUACAAUGGGGGGUACAGAGGGCUGCUACCACGCAAGUGGAUGCCAAUCCCAAAAACCUCUCUCAGUUCGGAUUGAAGUCUGCAACCCGACUUCAUGAAGCUGGAUUCGCUAGUAAUCGCGCAUCAGCCACGGCGCGGUGAAUACGUUCCCGGGCCUUGUACACACCGCCCGUCAAGCCAUGGGAGCCGGGGGUACCUGAAGUGCGUAACCGCAAGGAGCGCCCUAGGGUAAAACUGGUGACUGGG
RNAcentral lists this ribosomal RNA (1434 nucleotides) under uncultured organism. Its description in RNAcentral is "16S ribosomal RNA". It matches the Rfam family "Bacterial small subunit ribosomal RNA". The record is from RNAcentral.